AGCGUAGGCGGUUUUUUAAGUGGGGUGUGAAAUCCCUGGGCUUAACCCAGGAAUUGCAUUCCAAACUGGAAGACUAGAGUGCAGGAGAGGAAAGUGGAAUUCCAAGUGUAGCGGUGAAAUGCGUAGAGAUUUGGAGGAACACCAGUGGCGAAGGCGACUUUCUGGACUGUAACUGACGCUGAUGCUCGAGAGCGUGGGGAGCAAACAGGAUUAGAUACCCUGGUAGUCCACGCUGUAAACGAUGAAUACUAGGUGUUGGGGGCGAAGCCCUCAGUGCCGCAGUUAACACAUUAAGUAUUCCGCCUGGGGAGUACGAUCGCAAGAUUAAA
This 329-nucleotide ribosomal RNA is filed under the name uncultured bacterium. RNAcentral's name for it is "bacterial SSU rRNA". It matches the Rfam family "Bacterial small subunit ribosomal RNA", at positions 568 to 898 of the family's 1533-position model. The record is from RNAcentral.